UCUUUAUCUAUCCCCUAGUGUAGCUCACAUGGCCGUUUUGACUUUGGACUCUAAGGACCCAAGUGGGUGGGAAGAGGUCAGCCAGACGAGGAGAGGCUACUCGUAACCUGCCCACCCCUGCCCACCAUAAGCCCAGUUCUUCUUCACUUCCGUAGACUUCCAGCCAGCUGUCCCGGGGUUCAGCCACAACACCUCGUGGUGUUCUGCACACUUUCAGCCAGUCACCCAAACUGCAGAACGCAGCCUCAGCUACGGCCCUGGUAAGCAGGACUGGCAGACAUUCCGAGAGAGUCGUGGGCACCAGCAAGGGCACCGCCUCCAACUGGAAAAAGACACCUCUGAGCACAGGUGGGACGCUUGCCUUCGUCAGCCCAAGCUUGGCAGUGCACAAGAGCUCCUCGGCCGUGGACCGACAGCGAGAGUACCUCCUGGACAUGAUUCCUCCACGCUCCAUCCCCCAGUCAGCCACAUGGAAAUAGUGGGAGCCGGCCCAGCCGAGGACAGGCCCUCUGCUCUCCCGAGGCCCUUGGUCUAGGACACGCAGACUACCCUCCUAGCAAGUUGCCUGAGACAGCUCAGGCCUUGGCUCUUGCCUUGCUGUGGCCAGGAGAGUACCACCAUGGUGCCCAGGAUCAGAACCAGGGACCUUCCCUAUGGGCCUUCUCCUUCCUUUUUGCCUUUAGUUUGCCCGACACCAGCAGAAACUCGGACCUUGGGGCCAGCUCUGCCUGGCCAGCGUGGGUGGGAGCUCACCCUGGACACUGUGACACACCCGGGCCAGACUGGCACCGGGGGCUCCCGAAGUUGAGCCGGGAUUUCGUUUUCUUUUGGCUUUUCCCAUCUU
This 844-nucleotide long non-coding RNA is filed under the name Rattus norvegicus (Norway rat). RNAcentral's name for it is "long non-coding RNA NONRATT011433". The record is from RNAcentral. Lineage: Eukaryota; Metazoa; Chordata; Mammalia; Rodentia; Muridae.